UACGUAGGGUGCGAGCGUUAAUCGGAAUUACUGGGCGUAAAGCGUGCGCAGGCGGUUCUCCAAGUCCGUUGUGAAAGCCCCGGGCUCAACCUGGGAAUGGCAGUGGAAACUAGGGUACUUGAAUCUGGCAGAGGGGGGUGGAAUUCCACGUGUAGCAGUGAAAUGCGUAGAGAUGUGGAGGAACACCGAUGGCGAAGGCAGCCCCCUGGGCUGAGAUUGACGCUCAGGCACGAAAGCGUGGGGAGCAAACAGG
Molecule: ribosomal RNA, 253 nt
Filed under: uncultured bacterium
Lineage: Bacteria
Description: partial 16S ribosomal RNA
Rfam family: Bacterial small subunit ribosomal RNA
Source: RNAcentral